Molecule: ribosomal RNA, 121 nt
Filed under: uncultured bacterium
Lineage: Bacteria
Description: partial 16S ribosomal RNA
Rfam family: Bacterial small subunit ribosomal RNA
Source: RNAcentral
GGCAGCAGUGGGGAAUAUUGCACAAUGGAGGAAACUCUGAUGCAGCGACGCCGCGUGAGUGAAGAAGUAAUUCGUUAUGUAAAGCUCUAUCAGCAGGGAAGAUAGUGACGGUACNUACUAA